GAGUUUGAUUCUGGCUCAGAACGAACGCCGGCGGCGCGUUUUAAGCGUGCAAGUCGAACGGUAGACACGGUGCUUGCACUGUGUUGAGAGUGGCGAACGGGUGAGUAACACGUAGGUGAUUUACCUGUGAGUUGGGGAUAGCCUGUGGAAACACAGGGUAAACCCGAAUACGUCCGCUUCCAUGCGUGGAGGUGGAGAAAGGCGCUUUGGCGCUGCUCGCAGAUGAGCCUGCGGUCCAUUAGCUUGUUGGCGGGGUAAAGGCCCACCAAGGCGACGAUGGAUAGCCGGCCUGAGAGGGUGACCGGCCACACUGGGACUGAGACACGGCCCAGACUCCUACGGGAGGCAGCAGCUAAGAAUCUUCCGCAAUGGACGAAAGUCUGACGGAGCGACGCCGCGUGAACGAAGAAGGCCGAAAGGUUGUAAAGUUCUCUUUGCAGGUGAAGAAUAAGGGCAGGAGGGAAUGCCUGCUUGAUGACGCUAGCCUGUGAAUAAGCCCCGGCUAAUUACGUGCCAGCAGCCGCGGUAACACGUAAGGGGCGAGCGUUGUUCGGAAUUAUUGGGCGUAAAGGGCGUGUAGGCGGUCCGGAUAAGCCUGGUGUGUAAGGCUACGGCUUAACCGUAGUUUUGCGCUGGGAACUGCCGGGCUAGAGUCCAGAAGGGGGAGCGUAGAAUUCCUGGCUGCUACGGGUGAAAUCUGUAGAUAUCAGGAAGAAUACCGGUGGCGAAGGCGACCUCCUGGUCUUGGACUGACGCUGAGGCGCGAAAGCGUGGGGAGCGAACAGGAUUAGAUACCCUGGUAGUCCACGCUGUAAACGAUGUGCACUAGGUGUUGGGGCGUUGAAGCCUCGGUGCCGAAGCUAACGCGAUAAGUGCACCGCCUGGGUGAGUAUGCUCGCAAGGGUGAAACUCAAAGGAAUUGACGGGGGCCUGCACAAGCGGUGGAGCAUGUGGUUUAAUUUGAUGAUACGCGAGGAACCUUACCAGGGUUUGACAUACACCGGGAGCCGUGGGAGACCGCGGUGCCUCUUUUGAGGCCGGUGUACAGGUGCUGCAUGGCUGUCGUCAGCUCGUGCUGUGAAGUGUUGGGUUAAGUCCCGCAACGAGCGCAACCCCUACUGUCUGUUGCCAACAGGUUAGGCUGGGCACUCAGACGGAACUGCCGGUGACAAACCGGAGGAAGGGUGGGGACGACGUCAAGUCAUCAUGGCCCUUAUGUCCUGGGCUACACACGUGCUACAAUGGCCGGUACAGAGUGAGGCGAAACCGCGAGGUGGAGCAAAUCACAGAAAACCGGUCUCAGUUCGGAUCGGAGUCUGAAACCCGACUUCGUGAAGCUGGAAUCGCUAGUAAUCGCGCAUCAGCAUGGCGCGGUGAAUACGUUCCCAGGCCUUGUACACACCGCCCGUCACACCACCCGAGUUGGGGGCACCCGAAGUCGGUAGCCUAACCGUGCAAGCGGGGGGCGCCGCCCAAGGUAUGCCUGGUAAGGAGGGUGAAGUCGUAAC
This 1508-nucleotide ribosomal RNA is filed under the name uncultured spirochete. RNAcentral describes it as "bacterial SSU rRNA". It matches the Rfam family "Bacterial small subunit ribosomal RNA". Lineage: Bacteria; Pseudomonadati; Spirochaetota; Spirochaetia; Spirochaetales. The record is from RNAcentral.